CCUACGGGAGGCAGCAGUGGGGAAUUUUGGACAAUGGGGGCAACCCUGAUCCAGCCAUUCCGCGUGAGUGAAGAAGGCCUUCGGGUUGUAAAGCUCUUUUGUUCGGGACGAAACGGUUAAGGUUAAUAACCUUGACUACUGACGGUACCGGAAGAAUAAGCACCGGCUAACUACGUGCCAGCAGCCGCGGUAAUACGUAGGGUGCGAGCGUUAAUCGGAAUUACUGGGCGUAAAGCGUGCGCAGGCGGUUUUGUAAGCCAGAUGUGAAAUCCCCGGGCUCAACCUGGGAAUGGCAUUUGGGACUGCAAGGCUAGAGUAUGGCAGAGGGGACUAGAAUUCCUGGUGUAGCAGUGAAAUGCGUAGAUAUCAGGAGGAAUACCGAUGGCGAAGGCAGGUCCCUGGGCCAAUACUGACGCUCAUGCACGAAAGCGUGGGGAGCAAACAGGAUUAGAUACCCUGGUAGUCCACGCCCUAAACGAUGUCAACUGGUUGUUGGGGAUUUAUUCUCUUAGUAACGAAGCUAACGCGUGAAGUUGACCGCCUGGGGAGUACGGUCGCAAGAUUAAAACUUAAAGGAAUUGACGG
This 585-nucleotide ribosomal RNA is filed under the name uncultured bacterium. RNAcentral describes it as "bacterial SSU rRNA". It matches the Rfam family "Bacterial small subunit ribosomal RNA", at positions 338 to 916 of the family's 1533-position model. The record is from RNAcentral.